UAAUGUCUUUAGCAUACAACUGAGCCAAGCAGUCACGGAUCCUGCCAUGCUUUUGAAGCAAUGAUCUUCGUACAGAUUGAGUAGGAUGAGCUGUUAGGACCAAAUCCACAGUCUGAUUCUUGAUAGCAUCAAAAACUUCUUGGGGGGACUUCUUUAAGUCCCCCACCAGUUUCUUGAAAGUUUCUUCAAUAUCUGACUCAGUUGUAGCAUUGGCCUCAUCAGCA
This 224-nucleotide unclassified non-coding RNA is filed under the name Hevea brasiliensis (rubber tree). Lineage: Eukaryota; Viridiplantae; Streptophyta; Magnoliopsida; Malpighiales; Euphorbiaceae. The record is from RNAcentral.